AGAGUUUGAUCCUGGCUCAGGAUGAACGCUAGCUACAGGCUUAACACAUGCAAGUCGAGGGGCAGCAUGUUGGUUGCUUGCAACCAACGAUGGCGACCGGCGCACGGGUGAGUAACGCGUAUCCAACCUACCCUUGUCCAUCGGAUAACCCGUCGAAAGGCGGCCUAACACGAUAUGCGGUUCACAGCAGGCAUCUAACGUGAACGAAAUGUGAAGGAGAAGGAUGGGGAUGCGUCUGAUUAGCUUGGUUGGGCGGGGUAACGGCCCACCAAGGCUACGAUCAGUAGGGGUUCUGAGAGGAAGGUCCCCCANAUUGGAACUGAGACACGGUCCAAACUCCGUACGGGAGCA
This 351-nucleotide ribosomal RNA is filed under the name uncultured bacterium. RNAcentral describes it as "bacterial SSU rRNA". It matches the Rfam family "Bacterial small subunit ribosomal RNA", at positions 8 to 349 of the family's 1533-position model. The record is from RNAcentral.